AUGAUACUGAUUGAUAAACAAGUAAAGAAAUCAUACAUCAAGUUUAACAAAUCUCAAAGAUGCAUUAAAUAUCAAAUCUCUUUUUAUGCAUUUAAGUACUACAUGAUAUGCAAGCUGCAAUACUCAUCUUGGGAUUGCUGUUGGGUUAAGUCUCGUUCCAAGUUCGGUGGAGGUCAAAAUGCAGCGGUUGGAGGAGAUGUUGCUUUGGGUGUUGCUGCAAACCUGCCUCCGUCUAGCAUUCCGCCGCACCACCGUACCAAAGACGAUAGUGCGAGGCGCACGGGUUAA
Molecule: non-coding RNA, 288 nt
Organism: Vicia faba (fava bean)
Lineage: Eukaryota; Viridiplantae; Streptophyta; Magnoliopsida; Fabales; Fabaceae
Source: the annotation of a GenBank genome assembly